GGUACUCGAGUGGCGAACGGGUGAGUAACACGUGGGUGAUCUGCCCUGCACUCUGGGAUAAGCCUGGGAAACUGGGUCUAAUACCGGAUAUGACCAACUGUCGCAUGGUGGUUGGUGGAAAGCUUUUGCGGUGUGGGAUGGGCCCGCGGCCUAUCAGCUUGUUGGUGGGGUAAUGGCCUACCAAGGCGACGACGGGUAGCCGACCUGAGAGGGUGAUCGGCCACACUGGGACUGAGACACGGCCCAGACUCCUACGGGAGGCAGCAGUGGGGAAUAUUGCACAAUGGGCGCAAGCCUGAUGCAGCGACGCCGCGUGAGGGAUGACGGCCUUCGGGUUGUAAACCUCUUUCACCAGGGACGAAGCGGAAGUGACGGUACCUGGAGAAGAAGCACCGGCCAACUACGUGCCAGCAGCCGCGGUAAUACGUAGGGUGCGAGCGUUGUCCGGAAUUACUGGGCGUAAAGAGCUCGUAGGCGGUUUGUCGCGUCGUCUGUGAAAUUCUGCAACUCAAUUGCAGGCGUGCAGGCGAUACGGGCAGACUUGAGUACUACAGGGGAGACUGGAAUUCCUGGUGUAGCGGUGAAAUGCGCAGAUAUCAGGAGGAACACCGGUGGCGAAGGCGGGUCUCUGGGUAGUAACUGACGCUGAGGAGCGAAAGCGUGGGUAGCGAACAGGAUUAGAUACCCUGGUAGUCCACGCCGUAAACGGUGGGUACUAGGUGU
Molecule: ribosomal RNA, 723 nt
Filed under: Gordonia sp. YIM 64797
Lineage: Bacteria; Bacillati; Actinomycetota; Actinomycetes; Mycobacteriales; Gordoniaceae
Description: bacterial SSU rRNA
Rfam family: Bacterial small subunit ribosomal RNA
Source: RNAcentral